GGAAUACAAGUUAUUUUGAAAGCGAGUAUCAGCAAUAAUGCUGGUGAGUUCAUAAGUAUUUAUGUGACUUUGAUUUGUAAAGCUGUAAAGAAAGACCUGUAAAUGUAUGAAGGAAAGUUUGUACCAACGAACAUGUUUGCAAGUAAUUGUAAACGUUUGAAAACCCUAGAAAAUCCCAUAUUUUCUACUAGUAUAAAUUGUAGUCUUCUACCAAGACUCGACUGUUUUGAAUGUUUGCUUCAGAAAUCCAAUAUUUGUUUAUAAGUGGGUGGUAGUUUAAAAGACCCAAAGAUGUACUACCAUGAUAUUUUUCAUGUCUAAAACAGUAGAUUUGUGUACAGUUAUAACUGCUAAGGUAUAUGAUAACUCCGUAAAUCAACAUGUUUUUAAUACUCCAUGUGAGUUUUAUAACCAUGCUAUUGACACUGAUGGCCUGUAACAACGUUCUUCAGGCGUUGGAAUGUUAUGACAUUUGUCACCCCAGACCUGUUGCCGGUCUAACUGUAGCUAAUAGUUUAGGUGCGGGAUUGUCAAUCCCGUAUAGAUCUAUACACAAGUAUCACGCUCUCCCUCCAAGAGAUUAUGAUAUAUAAUACAGGACUUGAAAUGCAUACAUAAAUGUACGUUGAAUUUUGAAUAUCUCACAACUUAGUAUAAAAUAGAUUUACGUAUGAAAAUGUCCAUUUGUUUUUAGAUGAAAACACCUUCUUGAUAUGGCACUUGUAGUAUAUAAAAUGUUAUGACUAUCUAGUGUACUAUCUCAUGUAAUUGUAUUCCUUGAAAUGGUAUGUCUUGAAGUUGUAUGCUUUUGUAAUUGUAUGUCUUAAGAUUAUAUGUCUUUUAAUUGUAUAUGAUUGUAUCUCUUCGCAUAGUAUGUAAUGUAUUUGUAUAGACUCACGAAUAGACUGAAUCUUGUAUGAAUCCUGGUACUUGGAAUGGUAAAUAGUAUAUCUUAACUAUACCUAUUAUAGUUACUAGUAGUGUGUGUGUAUCAUCGAAAUAUGCCUUUGUUACCCAAAGGUACUGAACCAACUGAAUAGAAAACUUUUAUGUCUAUAUCUGUAUACAUGAGAUAUAUAUAUAUAUAUAUAUAUAUAUAUAUAUAUAUAUAUACAUAUAUAUAUAACCAUGCGUGUUUAGGCGUGCAUUUGACAAAUAAAAUAUAAAAGAAGUUUUGUAUAACCUUUGAGAAGUUUAAUAAAUAAUAAGAAGUGAUUACUUGGUGUCAGUUUAUAAAACGGUUUGAAAGUAGUUUGUUUGACAAGAAUAAUUUUAAGUAUAAGAAGACCUUUGCUUGAAAUACGAUUCUAAUGGUGUUUGAAAGGAAAUAGAAAGUAUGUAAGACAGUUUGAUAAAGAGUUUUAACAUGUAAAAAUGUUUGUCGUAAACUAUUAUAGUUUUUCCAAAAGUUCGUUUCAUUUGUAUAGUAAACCUUAGUGUGAUGCUCACUUGUAUUGUAAUGUGUAACUUUUGUGAUGACAUAAAUGAACACAUGUACUCAAGGUAUAAAUAAACCGUUUUAUUCGUAUACGUAUAACCACCUAUUUUAUUUCAACGGAUAAUAUGAUAUCGUGUUAUGUUUUCCGUACGAAGGAUUUCAUAUAAUGGUUAUGAAUCACAUAUGUUUACUUUAUAAAAAUGAGUAUUUAGUGAAUCUUUGAGUUACACACGAUAAUAAUCGUGUGUUUACUUGUAUUCCCCCCCUUAAAAGUGUAUAUUAAAACAAUAUUGAUAACACAUUUAAAAAUGUAGAUUAUAGGGGCAUGAACUCACCGAAGAAAGUGCGUGAUUUGAAGAAAACGAGAUUUUCCCGGGCGGCACCUCGACCGGAAAGUGACGAGAUUCUCGGGAAUCUCGGGGCUUCGGACUUUCGUCGGGGCUUGAAUAUGAAACUGGGAAGUCGGGAUAUUGUCGGCACGAAAAACGAGGCAAAAAUGAGAGAGAAUUGAAGUGUUUUUGUGAAAAUAGUCGGCACCCUCGCAGCCUAUUUAUAGGAGUUGGAGGUCCUCGGUAUGCAGGGCGUACUUCGGACUUACGCGGGGCGUACUCCGAAGGUACGCGGGGCGUUCGUUUGCGUCACUGCUUACCGCAUCCUCAGGCGAAGUGUCUGGUCGACGUGGCUGAUCCGGAGCCUUGUAUCCGAGUACUCGGGGCGUACGAGGGUACGCAGGGCGUACUCCUUCGGAUAAGACUUUGAAGUGCGUGCCAAGAACUUCUAAAAUGCGUAACUUUCGCAUACGAGCUCUGUUUUUGAUGUUCUUUAUAUCCACGCGAAGGUGAGAAAAUAUUCUACAACUUCCAUUUAGACUCCGUCGGCUAAUUUUGACUUUACUUUUAAUUAUAUUUUAAUUAAUAGGUCGGGACACAAUAAUUUCGUUAAAAACCCAUAACUUCUUCGCUAUAACUCGGAUUUUAGUGUUCUUUAUAUGUACGAAAACCUUGAUACGAGUCCUACCACUUUAUUUAACCCAAAUAUGAUUUUAGGAAAGUUAAAUUUUGGAUUAAAUUUGUCUGGCGUUACAUUUUUAUUGUCUCAAAAUAUCGGGUUGUUAAAUCAUCCCCCUAUUAAAGGGAAUUUCGUCCUGAAAUUCGAGUUUUAAGUAGUAUUAACAAUCAUUCUACGGACUGGAGUUCUAUUUGAUACUCGUGUUCUUAAGCAAACAUUCGUCUUCGCCUGGCAUUCCAGUGAAUCUUUCACUAAUGGGAUACGACUUUGCUUCUUUCGUUUGACUUCACUGGUAUGAUAUGCUUUCCUUGUUGAAUGUGUGUUGUGUGUUUCCGUGUUUGGUGAGAGUAUUACACCUUGUACCCUGCAAGUGGUGUCUCCAGAUCUUCAGAGCAAUUAACGCUGCUUCUGAAUCAGGGUCAUGUGUCGAACAGUCAAAUUCUUGUGUCUUAAACUGUUUUGCAGUACAGGUAGUGAUCUUUCCUCUUGCAUAAGAACACAACCAAGCCCUUGGUUGGAUGCAUCGCAUUACAUCACGAAAUAUUAUAUCCCCUUUUGGGAGGGAUAAUAUUGGUGCGAUGCAUCAGACAUACUUUAGUGUUUGGAACGCUCUUUCUUGUUUACAAACAAGUCUGGUGAUCCUACAAGUGAGAAACUUGGCCUAAGAAAUCCUCUUAUGAGGAGUUCGCUAAGCUAUCUGGGAAGUUCCAGUAUAUUAGUUGGAGCUAGACGAUAAGGUGAUUUCGCUACUAGGGUAGCCCCUGGAACUAAGUCAAUUCUGAAUUCGUCUUGACGUUGUAUUGGUAGUCUCGUUUGUCCUUCUGGAAAGGUUUCGGGAAAACCGCGUACUUCUUGGAUGUUCUUGAAUGUCCUUCACUUCUUGGCACGUCUCGGCGAUGUGUGCAAGGUAUACAUGAUAUUCCUUUCGUAAGCAUUUUUGAGCUUGCAUACAGGAAAUGAUGAGAGGGUUUGUACUUGGUUCGUGGCUGUAAAUAACUAGGGCUUCGUUGUUAGGGAGGUUAGGACGAACUGCUUUAUCAAAGCACCUGAUGUUGGCUCGAUGUAGACUGAAUCAACUACUACUGAUUAUGAUGUCAAAAUUUGGGGGUGGAUUAGUUGUCGUGAAGGUCUAAAAGAUAGUAUGACUACUCAUGAAUUAGGCAAAAGGAUAGGUAUUUCUAUAUAUUUAUUCUCACGGAAGCACGAUCAUUCGUAGUCUUGGGCAGUCUUCGUCCUGAAGUUCAUAGUAGAACUCAUACCUGGUCCAUCCAUCACAGUCUCGGGUAUACGAGUCGUAUAUAAUUAAGGUUGAGAAGGUAGUCGAAUAAAUGAUUCUUCCUUUAAGCUCUCAUCCCAUCGAGGAAAAAAGAAGUUAAAUUGGAAUUGUCAAUUCCAAACUUGUAGAACCUUGAUUAUAUAUUAUCCCUAAGUAUACGUUCAUCAGCGAAGAUCAACCGUAUGGACCUUUGGAUUUGAACUUGAUGUAUAGUACAAGUGGUACUUCGGGGAUUUCUUUGGAAAGAAGAGAACUAUGAGGUAUUCUAUAUAUGGGUACUUCGGUGUUCUGGGAUGACGGCUUCGCUGAAAAGGCGAUUUCGAAGAAAGAGAUGUACGUAUGAAGCUGUUUUUGUGAGGAUCAAAUUGAAUCAAGUCGUAAGAUAGUGUUGGAGUCAUAAAGAAACUUAAAGACAUUAGUUUUGAAUAUAAAAUGUUUACAGACAAAACACAACCGUGCAACCAUCAACAGAGUUACAGUAUUUUAGACUACUACAAGUCUAUUGUCGUGAAUAAGGUAUACUAUAUAAGGCAAGUAUACAUAGUACGAGCAUCCCUAUAAUGACGGGAUCUCGCAAAGGAUAAGACUCUGAUUGUGCUAGUUUUGGAUGGUUUAUAGGUCUGUUACAAUGAAACGCCUAAAUUACAUUAACGUGGGUUCGUAGUAGGUUCUCCUGCAGCUGUGAUCCUGAGAAUCCUACCGUCUGCGCCAGAGUUCUUUGUUAUAGGACAAUCCUUCUUGAGAUGCCCUAUCUCCCCGCAUUGGUGGCAUGACUGGCUAGUACUAGCCUUGGUGGCGGGAGUGAGGUGUUUAGCCAGAGUUAUGUGGACACGAGUGCCUUCCUCAUUACACCACCUUGGAAACUGCUUUCUAAAGCGUUCUGCAGGAGUUUCCAUGUGUUGCUAUGGCAUGGCAAGUCUUUGGGGUCUCUUGCGCUCCUUUAGGGCUUGACGAUAUCGCCUCUUCCUUUCGGUCUUAUGGCUUCAUGAGUCUAUGACUGUUGCCAUUUUUUGUUUUCCCGGUUCGGUAUUACCAUCAGAACUCUCAACUUCUUUGUCGGUCUUGCUUGUGUUGCCUGAGUUGAUGUGCGUAAGGAAAUUUGUCACCGCAGCUGCUACUGCAGCUUGUAAUGAAGCGGCGUCGAUAUGAAGGAUAGGGUUUUCGUUGCUCGGCUGAUCGUUCCCGGAUGACGACAUGAUUCUGUAACAUGAAAAAUAAAGAUUUUUGUGAGCGAUUCUGGUUGACUUCUAGAUGUACUUCGAUUGCUUUAGGUAAAGAGUAAAAGUAUGUUCUCGCAAGUUUGACCUACAUCCCUAUGAUGCAGUCCUAGUACGGAUUGGAAGUAUGUUCAUGAUGGUUUGAUCUACAUCCCUAUGAUGCAAUCAUAAUAUAGAGUAGAAGUAUGUUUGUAGAAUGGUCUUUUAAGACGUUUGUCAUUCAAGCUGAGGUAUCAUUGGUUGGUGGAUAACAUGAUCCAUCCACUAGAAGGGACAUGGAAAUGCCUCCAGAGUUAAAUUACUAUAGUCCAAUGACUUGACUAAAGCAUAUUAAUGAAGGUAUGAUGUGGGUUUUUGAGCAAAAGGUGACACGAAAGUUAGCCGACUGUCAAUAUCAUCGAUUCUUUACGAUGUAAUAAGUUUAGGAAAAUUUGACUUUGAAGAAGGUCUUACAUGAUAUCCAGAGUAGAAUGGUUUUGGCCGCAUAAAGGCCUAACUAACAGUACUUACAGUACAAGAUAGUUUCAUAGAAAAUGUUGCAUCGGGCAUAGACAGAAAAAAUAGUUCAUUUAAACAAGGUAGGGAAAUAAAGCCUUUCUUUCUGGCGGAGGUCAUCCUUCUGGUGAACUCUCAGUUUAGCCAAUUAAUGUUCCAUUAUUAAGAAGGUGUCUUUCGUACACUCUCGGACGCACUCGUUUCUCUAUGACUUUGGCUCGUGUUUUAGCUAGUGCUUGCAGCAGGGUCUCAUGGUUUCUCUCAGAUCUCUCACGAGUGUUUUUAAGAUGAUUGGUGUAGAUGAUGUGCAUUCUUGUAUUGGCAUUUAACCUCUUCGGUAUAUUGGAGAGUCGUCCUGCCCUGAAUUUCGUUUCAAGCAACUCUACGGAUCAGGAUUGGUAGAACUUUGUCUGCUGAGCUUCCUUUGUAGCAGCUUCGGUCUCCUUUAGAUGGCAUAGGUUGAUCUUGCUCUUCGCUCCAUGUUUCCAAGCAUUCUACGCAAGGAAGUGUCGAGCCAUGAAGAGCUGGAUGAGGGUUAGGAUUUGAAUUGGGAGCCACCGGGGUUAGGUUCUCAUUCUCGAGUUCAGAGUUAUCAUCAUCCGAAAGGUCUUCAGUAUGGUGAUCAUUCAAAAGGGAUUGGAUGAUUAUUCUCUGGUUCUUCUCUGAACCAUCCAGCAUUGCCUUUGUUUGGGAAGUACGAGUUGUCGUGGGGAUGGGGUCCAACUAUGUUAUCUAUACGGUAAUUUGGGGUAUAAGAAUCUAACACAUAAGUAGUUUAUAGAAUACACAAAAUACUCCUAUAGUAUUUUAGGUUUACGUUCUAUUGUUCCCAUUGUGGUAUUGUGGGUAAGUUUUUAGACUUGUUGCAACUCACAACCACACUUAGGCACAUGCUAGUCAACCCUUGGAAAAUAUAGUUGAUCAGGCUAUAUCAUCCCAGUUUUGACUAUAUGUCUCUAAGUCUACUUGUGCUGCCCAACAAUCAUAAUACUUUUGUUCUGUCUUAGUGACACCAAUUUUAUUAUGAAUGCAGACAUGUAUAAUUACUUAAAUAUUUUAUUAUUUAAAAGUAUACACUCUUUAUCAGAGUAUUUUAAUCCCUAUUGUAUUUAUAGUUUGCAUAUCUUUUAUGGGUUGAUAUACUUAAUUCACUAUAAACAAUGCUCUGAUACCAAUCUGUCACACCCCAAAACCGAGAACGGUGGAAACGUUCUGGGGCGGAGGACGUCAUGUAAUGUAUCACAACAAUGCAAAGUAGUAAACAAGCAACAACAUCAUCCAUUGCAUUAAUAGUAUAAUUUUAAUUACAUUUGAGUUCUUUCAUAGUAUAAUUCUACAAAAUGAAUAAAAGGCGAGUCUUGAUUGCUCCGUCUUCGCAGAACCUGGUAGUCGUACCUGUCUAUCCGUAUCCUGGGAAUACAAGUUAUUUUGAAAGCGAGUAUCAGCAAUAAUGCUGGUGAGUUCAUAAGUAUUUAUGUGACUUUGAUUUGUAAAGCUGUAAAGAAAGACCUGUAAAUGUAUGAAGGAAAGUUUGUACCAACGAACAUGUUUGCAAGUAAUUGUAAACGUUUGAAAACCCUAGAAAAUCCCAUAUUUUCUACUAGUAUAAAUUGUAGUCUUCUACCAAGACUCGACUGUUUUGAAUGUUUGCUUCAGAAAUCCAAUAUUUGUUUAUAAGUGGGUGGUAGUUUAAAAGACCCAAAAUUGUACUACCAUGAUAUUUUUCAUGUCUAAAACAGUAGAUUUGUGUACAGUUAUAACUGCUAAGGUAUAUGAUAACUCCGUAAAUCAACGUGUUUUUAAUACUCCAUGUGAGUUUUAUAACCAUGCUAUUGACAUUGAUGGCCUGUAACAACGUUCUUCAGGCGUUGGAAUGUUAUGACAUUUGUCACCCCAGACCUGCCGGUCUAACUGUAGCUAACAGUUUAGGUGCGGGAUUGUCAAUCCCGUAUAGAUCUAUACACAAGUAUCACGCUCUCCCUCCAAGAGAUUAUGGUAUAUAAUACAGGACUUGAAAUGCAUACAUAAAUGUACGUUGAAGUUUGAAUAUCUCACAACUUAGUAUAAAACAGAUUUACGUAUGAAAAUGUCCAUCUGUUUUUAUAUGAAAAUACCUUCUUGAUAUGGAACUUGUAGUAUAUAAAAUGUUAUGAAUAUCUAGUGUACUAUCUCAUGUAAUUGUAUUCCUUGAAAUGGUAUGUCUUGAAGUUGUAUGCUUUUGUAAUUGUAUGUCUUAAGAUUAUAUGUCUUUUAAUUGUAUAUGAUUGUAUCUCUUCGCAUAGUAUGUAAUGUAUUUGUAUAGACUCAUGAAUAGACUGAAUCUUGUAUGAAUCCUGGUACUUGGAAUGGUAAAUAGUAUAUCUUAACUAUACCUAUUAUAGUUACUAGUAGUGUGUGUGUAUCAUCGAAAUAUGCCUUUGUUACCCAAAGGUACUGAACCAACUGAAUAGAAAACUUUUAUGUCUAUAUCUGUAUACAUGAGAUAUAUAUAUAUAUAUAU
This 7934-nucleotide long non-coding RNA is filed under the name Lactuca sativa (garden lettuce). Its description in RNAcentral is "long non-coding RNA (LSAT_LNC000501)". Lineage: Eukaryota; Viridiplantae; Streptophyta; Magnoliopsida; Asterales; Asteraceae. The record is from RNAcentral.